UGCAGGAGAAUCCAGAACAAACCAAAUCAGUUCUCUCCACGGUGACCUUCACUCCGUCAUACCUUCAUCAUGAGAAGAACAUCACUUGUACUGCAGUCUACCCAGUAGGGACAAGCAACAAGACAGCUGAACAUAACAUGAUGCUUAACGUUUCAUUCUCUCCUAAGGACACCUCGGCCUCCAUCAGUCCAGCUGAUUCAGUAUCAGUGGGCAGCUGUGUUAAUCUGACCUGCAGCAGUAAGCCAACCCUCCUGUGACAAACGUCACCUGGUUCCAGAUCAGUGAGGGUGAAACAACACAGGUAGCAUCUGGACUGAGUUACACCCUCAAUGUGACUGUUGGUGAUGGAGGACUAUACUACUGUGAAGCAAGAAAUAGUCAAGGCUGUGGGAAGUCAAAUGAAGUGCAGCUGGCUAUAAAAGGGCAAAAAGAGCCAAAAAACCCAAUGGUGUUUGGGGUUGCAGCAGGAACUCUGGGGGCCAUUUUGCUUAUCAGCCUGAUCAGUCUUUUUGUAUGGAGGAGAAACUUGAGGCUCCACGAUGGACU
Oncorhynchus masou masou (cherry salmon) is the source of this 546-nucleotide long non-coding RNA. RefSeq lists it as uncharacterized. The record is from RefSeq and is a predicted model, not a curated record. NCBI's taxonomy places the organism in Eukaryota, Metazoa, Chordata, Actinopteri, Salmoniformes, Salmonidae. The transcript has 4 exons.